RNAcentral lists this ribosomal RNA (399 nucleotides) under uncultured bacterium. RNAcentral describes it as "bacterial SSU rRNA". It matches the Rfam family "Bacterial small subunit ribosomal RNA", at positions 30 to 431 of the family's 1533-position model. The record is from RNAcentral.
AUUGAACGCUGGCGGCAUGCUUUACACAUGCAAGUCGAACGGUAACAGGUCUUCGGAUGCUGACGAGUGGCGAACGGGUGAGUAAUGCAUCGGAACGUGCCCAGUCGUGGGGGAUAACGCAGCGAAAGCUGUGCUAAUACCGCAUACGAUCUAUGGAUGAAAGCGGGGGAUCGCAAGACCUCGCGCGAUUGGAGCGGCCGAUGUCAGAUUAGCUAGUUGGUGGGGUAAAGGCCCACCAAGGCGACGAUCUGUAGCUGGUCUGAGAGGACGACCAGCCACACUGGGACUGAGACACGGCCCAGACUCCUACGGGAGGCAGCAGUGGGGAAUUUUGGGACAAUGGGCGCAAGCCUGAUCCAGCAAUGCCGCGUGCAGGAAGAAGGCCUUCGGGUUGUAACU